Zalophus californianus (California sea lion) is the source of this 1767-nucleotide RNA transcript. It is a transcript of the gene named MISP family member 3, with no coding region annotated. The record is from RefSeq and is a predicted model, not a curated record. The transcript is spliced from 3 exons. Lineage: Eukaryota; Metazoa; Chordata; Mammalia; Carnivora; Otariidae.
UGACUGUGCCACAGGUGCCGCGCAGGGCACCGUGGUCUCAGCUCUGGGCAUCAAAACUCCGGCUCUGGAAACUAAGUCUUCCGAGCUGCUCUCAGCCCUGUACACCGAGGGCCCCGGGCCAGAGAGCGGAGCCCUGGGGUCGUCCGAAGAGCGGGGCCCCGAGACCCCCGGGUCAGCGAAGUCCCAGGGCCUGCCGCAGAGCAGGACGCUGAGGUCCCCAGGCCAGGAGGCAAGGUCUCCGUGCCCUCUGCAGAGCAGGGCGCGGAGACCCCUGAGCAAGAGAGCGAAGUCCUUGGGCCAUCAGCGGGGCUAGACGCAGAACGCCCCGGGCCGUCUGCAGCUGGGGCUUUUGAGAGUCUCCGGCCCGGCAACCACGACCCCAAGCCGUCUUAAAGCGCGAAGCACGGGGUUCCUGAAGCAGUCUCCUCUUCCGGAUCCCGAGACCUUCUCCUCGGGGUCAGAUUCCGAAGGCCCCCUGCAGCAUUUUCUACUGGGCCCGAAGACCCCCCCCCCCGGCAGGCCCCCGAGGAGCCCGUUCAUGGAGACGCCCAUCGAACGAGAAAUCCGCCGCAGCUGCGAACGCGAGGAGAGCCUGCGCCGGAGCCGAGGCCUGAGCCCUGGCGGUGCAGGCCGAGAACUCGUCGAGCUGCGCGUGCGGUCUGUGCUCAGCCUGCCCAGCCCCGGCCCCGCGCUCCCGCGCGCCCUGGAGCGCGCGCGGGCGGGCGCGCAGAUGCAGCGAGACAUCGAGCGGGAGGCCCACCGUCAGGCGGCGCUGGCGCGCCCCGCAGCCCCAGAGCUGUGCGCCCGGCCGCCGCCGCCGCCGCCGCUGGGCGAGCUCAAGCGAUUCUUUGAGGCCGCCGGGGGACGCGGCUCCUCGUCGGCGGCUGAAGGCGGCGCGGACCCGCAGGGGCUGCCCGAUCCUGGAGGUCGGCCGCGCUUGGCCGUGCAGGGUCGGUGCCCGGUGCUGGCCCGCGCACCGCCGCGGGUCGCGCCGUCGCUGCUGGAGCAGGAGGUGUCCGAGGUGCGUGAGCGCGAGCGGGAGCUGCAGCGCCAGCGGCUCAGCGUCUAUGGCACCGCCGAGUUCAAGGAGCCCGCGCCGAGCCUCACGGGUUGCUCCCUCCUUCAGAAUGGAGGCUUCGAUGGGAAGCAGGGUAAACGCCUGUGUGUUUAAGGGGCGCGGCUGGCCUCCCUGGUCCUGGCCGCCUCCAGCUGGUGACAGGAGGGGCAACCCCGGCUGAGCACCCCUUCCCCCGCAGCGAGCAGGGGCGACGGAAAGCUGGCGGUGACCUGGCCUCCCCGCAGAAAGGCGUCUGAGAGCGGCUUGGAGCAGGAGGAGCGGAAGCCUUGAGGUUCCAGCAGGCUGGGACCCCCUGCCAGAGGUAAAAUGCAUAUCAGAGGAAACUGGUAGGGGUGCCCAGGAGUGCUCUCGGAAUCCACUGAAGGCCUGGAAGAGGGCCAGCCGUCUGCGCUGGGGAAGAUGAAAUCGACCAGCUCCUCCUUGAACCUGACUGUGAAAUUGACCAGUCUCUUCUAUAAAACUGUUAGUCCCCACUGGGAAACACUACCACUCUCAAACCGCCAGUGAAACUGUUCCGCCCUUCUCCUAACUGCAAACCCAACUGGCCUCUCCCUCUGGCCUUUGCGAUUAGAGGGCCAGGGUCUCCGCCUCGGCUACCCUCACUCCCCAAUAAAGCCCCUUCUUUCUGGGCAGUUCAGGCUGUUUUCCUCUGGGUCCCUUCGUCUGGGCUGGGGCGGGAGCGCGCCUGG